RNAcentral lists this ribosomal RNA (400 nucleotides) under uncultured bacterium. Its description in RNAcentral is "bacterial SSU rRNA". It matches the Rfam family "Bacterial small subunit ribosomal RNA", at positions 355 to 774 of the family's 1533-position model. The record is from RNAcentral.
UGGGGAAUAUUGGACAAUGGGCGCAAGCCUGAUCCAGCCAUGCCGCGUGAGUGAUGAAGGCCUUAGGGUUGUAAAGCUCUUUCGCCGGUGAAGAUAAUGACGGUAACCGGAGAAGAAGCCCCGGCUAACUUCGUGCCAGCAGCCGCGGUAAUACGAAGGGGUCUAGCGUUGCUCGGAAUUUCUGGGCGUAAAGCGCACGUAGGCGGUUUCUUAAGUCGGGGGUGAAAUCCUGGAGCUCAACUCCAGAACUGCCUUCGAUACUGGGAAACUUGAGUUCGGGAGAGGUGAGUGGAACUGCGAGUGUAGAGGUGAAAUUCGUAGAUAUUCGCAAGAACACCAGUGGCGAAGGCGGCUCACUGGCCCGAUACUGACGCUGAGGUGCGAAAGCGCGGAGCAAACA